Non-coding RNA from Mycena leptocephala, 93 nucleotides. NCBI's taxonomy places the organism in Eukaryota, Fungi, Basidiomycota, Agaricomycetes, Agaricales, Mycenaceae. The record is from the annotation of a GenBank genome assembly.
UCGGGUGUGGUGUACGGAACACGCUCCCUCAUCUUAAUCUGGCCAAAGAAAUCAGUGAAGGGGGAAACCUGGGUUCGAUUCCCGGUGCCCGAA